CCUACGGGAGGCAGCAGUGGGGAAUUUUGCGCAAUGGGGGCAACCCUGAUCCAGCCAUUCCGCGUGAGUGAAGAAGGCCUUCGGGUUGUAAAGCUCUUUCGGCAGGAACGAAACGGCGGACUCUAACAUAGUCUGUCAAUGACGGUACCUGAAGAAGAAGCACCGGCUAACUACGUGCCAGCAGCCGCGGUAAUACGUAGGGUGCGAGCGUUAAUCGGAAUUACUGGGCGUAAAGCGUGCGCAGGCGGCUUUGUAAGACGGAGGUGAAAUCCCUGGGCUUAACCUAGGAACUGCGUUCGUGACUGCAAAGCAAGAGUGCGGCAGAGGGGGGUGGAAUUCCUGGUGUAGCAGUGAAAUGCGUAGAGAUCAGGAGGAACACCGGUGGCGAAGGCGGCUCUCGGGACCGAUACUGACGCUGAGACGCGAAAGCGUGGGGAGCAAACAGGAUUAGAUCCC
RNAcentral lists this ribosomal RNA (456 nucleotides) under uncultured Rhodocyclaceae bacterium. Its description in RNAcentral is "partial 16S ribosomal RNA". It matches the Rfam family "Bacterial small subunit ribosomal RNA", at positions 338 to 786 of the family's 1533-position model. The record is from RNAcentral. Lineage: Bacteria; Pseudomonadati; Pseudomonadota; Betaproteobacteria; Rhodocyclales; Rhodocyclaceae.